Molecule: ribosomal RNA, 1126 nt
Filed under: uncultured beta proteobacterium
Lineage: Bacteria; Pseudomonadati; Pseudomonadota; Betaproteobacteria
Description: bacterial SSU rRNA
Rfam family: Bacterial small subunit ribosomal RNA
Source: RNAcentral
GGAGAAAAGCAGGGGAUCGCAAGACCUUGCGCUUUAGGAGCGGCCGAUGUCGGAUUAGCUAGUUGGUGGGGUAAAGGCUCACCAAGGCGACGAUCCGUAGCGGGUCUGAGAGGAUGAUCCGCCACACUGGGACUGAGACACGGCCCAGACUCCUACGGGAGGCAGCAGUGGGGAAUUUUGGACAAUGGGCGAAAGCCUGAUCCAGCCAUGCCGCGUGAGUGAAGAAGGCCUUCGGGUUGUAAAGCUCUUUCGGCGGGGAAGAAAUCGCAUUCUCUAAUACAGGAUGUGGAUGACGGUACCCGAAUAAGAAGCACCGGCUAACUACGUGCCAGCAGCCGCGGUAAUACGUAGGGUGCGAGCGUUAAUCGGAAUUACUGGGCGUAAAGCGUGCGCAGGCGGUUUCGUAAGACAGACGUGAAAUCCCCGGGCUCAACCUGGGAACUGCGUUUGUGACUGCGAGGCUAGAGUUUGGCAGAGGGGGGUGGAAUUCCACGUGUAGCAGUGAAAUGCGUAGAGAUGUGGAGGAACACCGAUGGCGAAGGCAGCCCCCUGGGCCAAUACUGACGCUCAUGCACGAAAGCGUGGGGAGCAAACAGGAUUAGAUACCCUGGUAGUCCACGCCCUAAACGAUGUCAACUAGGUGUUGGGAGGGUUAAACCUCUUAGUGCCGUAGCUAACGCGUGAAGUUGACCGCCUGGGGAGUACGGCCGCAAGGCUAAAACUCAAAGGAAUUGACGGGGACCCGCACAAGCGGUGGAUGAUGUGGAUUAAUUCGAUGCAACGCGAAAAACCUUACCCACCUUUGACAUGUACGGAAUUUACCAGAGAUGGUUUAGUGCUCGAAAGAGAACCGUAACACAGGUGCUGCAUGGCUGUCGUCAGCUCGUGUCGUGGGAUGUUGGGUUAAGUCCCGCAACGAGCGCAACCCUCGUCAUUAGUUGCUACAUUUAGUUGGGCACUCUAAUGAGACUGCCGGUGACAAACCGGAGGAAGGUGGGGAUGACGUCAAGUCCUCAUGGCCCUUAUAGGUGGGGCUGCACACGUCAUACAAUGGCUGGUACAAAGGGUUGCCAACCCGCGAGGGGGAGCUAAUCCCAUAAAACCAGUCGUAGUCCGGAUCGGAGUC